GUGAAUGCAUGUGCUUUAUUCAUAUAGUGCGCAUAUUCACAUUCAAAACAAAGGGGGAAGAAGCUGAGAACAGGACACUGCUUUCAGUCCCAGGCCACUUCAGGUGCUCUUGGGAAACCUCUCGUAUUUUGAGAGAAGAACAUUUCUGGUCUGUCCAGAGGAAGGAAGGACAUUAUCCCCAAACACCACUGGAGGUGUGAUGGGAAUAGAAAUGCCAGUGUUAGAACUGUCUGAAGACUGGUCUCUCCCUCCCAUCAGCGCUAUCUACCAGUCUUGAAUUGCAGCCCAGGCAGAGGUGAUCAGUUUUCUUACCCUAUAUUUCUUCUGGACCCCACUUCUUUUACUUCCCACCAUGAGCUUUGAAUAGCCCAAGCUCUGGAAGGAAGUGAAUGAGCUCCACAUCAGUUACCCAUUUCAGCUGGUCUUUGCAAUUGCUCCUCAGCCAAACACUGCUGCUUCUGAAAGAUAAAUGCAUGCAUGGCCGCUGCUCAAAGGAAAACAUGCAAAUACACCACAUUUGGCAGGCAACUUAGUAUAAGUUACAUUUGUACCUUUGUUCCCUCUCCUGCUUUGGGCCUGCCACACAGAACAGCAGCCAAAAUGCAUCUCAAAGAUUAGGUCUGGUCUCAGAGCAUUAAUUUUGCACACCUAAGUUACUGCUAGACCCAAUGACUGGAGUAUGAUCACGACUCAUUUGAAGCUUGAUGUAUGGCAUUUUGUUCAAACAAGUGCCCACAUAAAUGGAAAAAUAAUCAUUAAAGGACAAAGAAAAAAGACAAAUUUAAAAUUGUU
This 792-nucleotide long non-coding RNA is filed under the name Cyanistes caeruleus (blue tit). Its description in RNAcentral is "lncRNA (ENSCCEG00000014923.1)". The record is from RNAcentral. Lineage: Eukaryota; Metazoa; Chordata; Aves; Passeriformes; Paridae.